RNAcentral lists this non-coding RNA (30 nucleotides) under Homo sapiens (human). The record is from RNAcentral. Lineage: Eukaryota; Metazoa; Chordata; Mammalia; Primates; Hominidae.
AGGAAGAGGACCUGGUUUGAGUAAUUGGAA